GUAGGUGGCAGGCGUUGUCCGGAAUUAUUGGGCGUAAAGCGCGCGCAGGCGGUUCUUUAAGUCUGAUGUGAAAGCCCACGGCUCAACCGUGGAGGGUCAUUGGAAACUGGAGAACUUGAGUACAGAAGAGGAAAGCGGAACUCCACGUGUAGCGGUGAAAUGCGUAGAGAUGUGGAGGAACACCAGUGGCGAAGGCGGCUUUCUGGUCUGUAACUGACGCUGAGGCGCGAAAGCGUGGGGAGCAAACAGGGAUUAGAUACCCUGGUAGUCCACGCCGUAAACGAUGAGUGCUAAGUGUUAGGGGGUUUCCGCCCCCUUAGUGCUGCAGCUAACGCAUUAAGCACUCCGCCUGGGGAGUACGGCCGCAAGGCUG
Molecule: ribosomal RNA, 373 nt
Filed under: uncultured organism
Description: partial 16S ribosomal RNA
Rfam family: Bacterial small subunit ribosomal RNA
Source: RNAcentral